Molecule: small nuclear RNA, 276 nt
Filed under: Mus musculus (house mouse)
Lineage: Eukaryota; Metazoa; Chordata; Mammalia; Rodentia; Muridae
Description: 7SK RNA
Rfam family: 7SK RNA
About the family: 7SK was discovered as an abundant small nuclear RNA in the mid-70s but a possible function has only recently been suggested. Two independent studies have found that 7SK RNA binds the CDK9/cyclin T complex (known as elongation factor P-TEFb).
Source: Rfam by way of RNAcentral
GAAAUGACAGAUGCAGCAUCUGUCAAACCACUAAUUGCUAGGAACUAUUCUGCUGAUCAUAAUCGCUAAUCAUGAAUCCCCUUCCUUCUUUAUAUAUUUCAUGUGUGUCUUUCCCACAGUUGUAUGCUCAAUCAAAGAGGAUGACCUUUUCUAAAUAGAAAAGGACCAGUCUUUGGAGUCUAUAGUAGUUGAUCUGUUCACCUGGUAGAACCAUCAAUCAAGCUCUCAAAGUACAUUUUAAAUUAUAUCCUUAUACACAUGGAUAGUAGUAUUUAU